RNAcentral lists this ribosomal RNA (452 nucleotides) under uncultured bacterium. Its description in RNAcentral is "bacterial SSU rRNA". It matches the Rfam family "Bacterial small subunit ribosomal RNA", at positions 28 to 493 of the family's 1533-position model. The record is from RNAcentral.
GACGAACGCUGGCGGCGCGCCUAACACAUGCAAGUCGAACGAGCGAGAGAGAGCUUGCUUUCUCGAGCGAGUGGCGAACGGGUGAGUAACGCGUGAGGAACCUGCCUCAAAGAGGGGGACAACAGUUGGAAACGACUGCUAAUACCGCAUAAGCCCACGGUGCCGCAUGGCACAGAGGGAAAAGGAGCAAUCCGCUUUGAGAUGGCCUCGCGUCCGAUUAGCUAGUUGGUGAGGUAAUGGCCCACCAAGGCGACGAUCGGUAGCCGGACUGAGAGGUUGAACGGCCACAUUGGGACUGAGACACGGCCCAGACUCCUACGGGAGGCAGCAGUGGGGAAUAUUGCACAAUGGGGGAAACCCUGAUGCAGCGACGCCGCGUGGAGGAAGAAGGUCUUCGGAUUGUAAACUCCUGUUGUUGGGGAAGAUAAUGACGGUACCCAACAAGGAAGUGA